AUGAACGCUGGCGGCUUGCCUAAUACCUGCAAGUCGAACGCUGGAGAUCUAGCUUGCUAGAUCGAAGGAGUGGCGAACGGGUGAGUAAUACAUAAGCAACCUACCCACGAAGACUGGGAUAAUCUCUGGAAACGGGGACUAAUACCGGAUAGGUAAUCGGAAGGCAUCUUCUGGUUAUUAAAGGUUAAAAACACUGGUGGAUGGGCUUAUGGCGCAUUAGUUAGUUGGUGAGGUAACGGCCCGCCAAGACGAUGAUGCGUAGCCGGCCUGAGAGGGUGAACGGCCACAUUGGGACUGAGACACGGCCCAGACUCCUACGGGAGGCAGCAGUAGGGAAUUUUCGGCAAUGGGGGCAACCCUGACCGAGCAACGCCGCGUGAGUGAAGACGGCCUUCGGGUUGUAAAGCUCUGUUGUAAGGGAAGAACGGUAGAUAGAGAAUAUCUAAGUGACGGUACCUUACCAGAAAGCCACGGCUAACUACGUG
RNAcentral lists this ribosomal RNA (485 nucleotides) under uncultured bacterium. RNAcentral's name for it is "partial 16S ribosomal RNA". It matches the Rfam family "Bacterial small subunit ribosomal RNA", at positions 29 to 507 of the family's 1533-position model. The record is from RNAcentral.